This 298-nucleotide small RNA is filed under the name Arabidopsis thaliana (thale cress). Its description in RNAcentral is "ATSL164120". The record is from RNAcentral. Lineage: Eukaryota; Viridiplantae; Streptophyta; Magnoliopsida; Brassicales; Brassicaceae.
CUCCUCAGUCAUCUUUGAGCUCUCUUUGGGCUUUCCGAAAAGGUAUCACAUGCCCAGUUUGGCCUCACGGUCUAAAAGUUAUAAAGUCAUACAUUUUUAACAAAAAAAAAAGAGAAAAACCGAAAAAAAGAGGGAUGCAAUACGAGGACUUUCCACGAGGUCACCCAUCCUAGUACAACUCUCGCCAAAGCAUGCUUAACUGCGGAGUUUAGAUGGGAUCUGGUGCAUUAGUGCUGGUAUGAUCGCAUCUGUUACUACAUGCAAUGCAAUCGUAUCUAUUCUUAUUUAAAGACUUUAU